CCCUUAGAUGUCCUGGGCCGCACGCGCGCUACACUGAUGCAUGCAACGAGUUUAUAACCUUGGCCUGAAAGGUCUGGGUAAUCUUUUGAACGUGCAUCGUGAUAGGGAUAGAUUAUUGCAAUUGUUAAUCUUGAACGAGGAAUUCCUAGUAAACGCGAGUCAUCAGCUCGCAUUGAUUACGUCCCUGCCCUUUGUACACACCGCCCGUCGCUACUACCGAUUGAAUGGUUUAGUGAGAUCUUCGGAUUGGCGCCACUGCGGCUCAGCAAUGGGCUCGGUGGAUGCCGAAAAGUUGAUCAAACUUGAUCAUUUAGAGGAAGUAAAAGUCGUAACA
RNAcentral lists this ribosomal RNA (334 nucleotides) under uncultured eukaryote. RNAcentral's name for it is "partial 18S ribosomal RNA". It matches the Rfam family "Eukaryotic small subunit ribosomal RNA", at positions 1470 to 1796 of the family's 1831-position model. The record is from RNAcentral.